Molecule: ribosomal RNA, 301 nt
Filed under: uncultured bacterium
Lineage: Bacteria
Description: partial 16S ribosomal RNA
Rfam family: Bacterial small subunit ribosomal RNA
Source: RNAcentral
CAGUAGCCGCGGUAAUACGUAGGGUGCGAGCGUUAAUCGGAAUUACUGGGCGUAAAGCGUGCGCAGGCGGCUAUGCAAGACAGAUGUGAAAUCCCCGGGCUCAACCCGAAGCCUGCAUGAGAAACUACCGGGCUUGAGUAUGGGAGAGGUGAGUGGAAUUUCCGGUGUAGCGGUGAAAUGCGUAGAUAUCGGAAGGAACACCUGUGGCGAAGGCGACUAUCUGGGCCAACACUGACACUGAGGCACGAAAGCGUGGGGAGCAAACAGGAUUAGAUACCCGCGUAGUCCCUGUCUCUUAUAC